GCUGAUGGAGCCGGCGGCUGUGUUUUCUCGCGAAUUUCGCAGAUUUGGCACGUUUUUCGCGUUUUGCAGAGGAUCGGCGGGUAUGCACUCGUCGGCGCCACUGUCUCCACCACUGUGUCGGCGCCGCCAGACAAGGCCACGCUCGGCAAGCGGCGGAAAAAGAGCGGCGACUCGUUGAGCAAGUGCGAGAAGGCGCUCGCGAACGAGAACUGCGACGAUGACAUCGCCAAAAGGUGGUACCUUGAGACCGGCGAGCAAUUGCUGCCGAUUUCCGGUGAUCAGCGGCACUUCCUGGCCUGGCGGCAGGUCUCUUAAGCAUCUCAAAGGUUCGAGUUGAGGACCAGGGAAAGAAUUUGUGCUGGCUGAAUUAUUCUGCCGGCGAGCAGACGGUGACGGCCCAGAAUCAGAUCGUCGACGUCGUUCAGAAGGGUGAGUGAAGCCGUUGCGUGAGGAGCUCGCGGACCUGCCGAGGGUUGACCCUGAUUGGCAGAAGCAGCAAGUGCGGAGGAAAGACACCCUGGGCAGCACCUGGCAGGUGGAGCAGCACCAGCACCGCGACUCCAACUCGUCGUCGUCCGAGACGUCGGUGUCGAUCUGCCGAGAGUCGGACCCUUCGCCGAAGGGCCGGGUGCGCACCAGCAGCCACACUGACGAGACCACCUUCAGUUUUGAGGCGUCGAAGUGAGCAUCGGGCCGCUUCUCCGACUCGCGCCGCAACGUGAGCGCCGAGCGAGGCCGAGUGCCGCGUCGCCUCACCAGAGGGACACCACCUUCCUAACCAACGUCUAGCAUUUUCUGUGAUUCAUCCCUUCCCACCCCUAAUCCACCACUCAAAAAUAAAUUCACUGCGUUGAUGGACCAAAAUGUCGACUUUUCUUUCUUU
This is a long non-coding RNA of Cloeon dipterum, 883 nucleotides long. RefSeq lists it as uncharacterized. Lineage: Eukaryota; Metazoa; Arthropoda; Insecta; Ephemeroptera; Baetidae. The transcript is spliced from 5 exons. The record is from RefSeq and is a predicted model, not a curated record.